UUGGUGAGGUAAUGGCUCACCAAGGCGACGACGGGUAGCCGGCCUGAGAGGGCGACCGGCCACACUGGGACUGAGACACGGUCCAGACUCCUACGGGAGGCAGCAGUGGGGGAUAUUGCACAAUGGGCGAAAGCCUGAUGCAGCGACGCCGCGUGAGGGAUGACGGCCUUCGGGUUGUAAACCUCUUUCAGCAGGGAAGAAGCGAAAGUGACGGUACCUGCAGAAGAAGCGCCGGCUAACUACGUGCCAGCAGCCGCGGUAAUACGUAGGGCGCAAGCGUUGUCCGGAAUUAUUGGGCGUAAAGAGCUCGUAGGCGGUCUGUCGCGUCUGCUGUGAAAACUCAGGGCUUAACCCUGAGCUUGCAGUGGGUACGGGCAGACUAGAGUGCGGUAGGGGAGACUGGAAUUCCUGGUGUAGCGGUGAAAUGCGCAGAUAUCAGGAGGAACACCGGUGGCGAAGGCGGGUCUCUGGGCCGUAACUGACGCUGAGGAGCGAAAGCAUGGGGAGCGAACAGGAUUAGAUACCCUGGUAGUCCAUGCCGUAAACGUUGGGCGCUAGGUGUGGGGACCUUUCCAUGGCUUCCGUGCCGCAGCUAACGCAUUAAGCGCCCCGCCUGGGGAGUACGG
This 626-nucleotide ribosomal RNA is filed under the name uncultured bacterium. Its description in RNAcentral is "bacterial SSU rRNA". It matches the Rfam family "Bacterial small subunit ribosomal RNA", at positions 249 to 885 of the family's 1533-position model. The record is from RNAcentral.